Phasianus colchicus (ring-necked pheasant) is the source of this 1638-nucleotide long non-coding RNA. The record is from Ensembl. Lineage: Eukaryota; Metazoa; Chordata; Aves; Galliformes; Phasianidae.
GCUUUCAGAUUUUUUAAUUGUCUCAGAUCAGCAUAGUACAUGUUUAUCCAGCUUUGGUUUUUCCCUUUGGAAUUAAAAUUUUGAAGAGUUUCCUGCAAACAUCGAUUUGAAAUGACACUCUGCAGGUGAAGUGGGAAGAACAAUAAAAUAGCAUGUGUUUAAGGUGGCAAGAAAUAGCUGCUCUUUUUGGAUCAUCUAUAGGUGAAGGAAGAAGAAAAUGGACAAGAACAGCACAGAGAACAAAAGCGAGUAGCAGCCUAGUAGGAGUAAAAGAUUAUUCCUCUAGCACCUAUGACUGAGUUCCCAAUUUAACUUCUGUAGUCCAAUUUCUUCUUCCAAGAACAUGACUGUAAAAAUGGCCUAAUGAGUGUGCUGCAAGUCCUGGACAGGUGUUGGAAAUCUAGGAUGCUGAAACAGCUUUGAAGCACUGUGUUUUGCUACUGCUGAGACAGCAUGCUGUGUUUGGCAAACAACUGAAAAUAGGAGGAGGUGAGGUUUAGCCUUGUUGUUUAUACCAGACAAUGAAAUUGUAUGAUGUUCCACCAUCCUUGGUGUUAAGAUGAACAUGUUUUUCUGCAGCUCAAGCUUCUCUAUGAUCUACACAAGUUCUCUGCUAUGCUGGACUUGAUUGCAUUUAAAAAGAAAGAAGAAAAAUGAGUGGUUUUAAAAAAAAAAAAAAAAAUCCCCUCAAGGCUACAGCUCCUGACAAGUUUCUUCAUUUUCAAAAAAGAUUAAUGAAGGGUAACUUGUUUAAGUAAGGAAUCUAUUUCUUGCUUCUGAAGUAGGGUUCAAGUUAAGUGGCAGAAUUGUCUUUUUUUUUUUUUUUUGCUUAGAGGGAGAAGCUUUGCUAUACAUUAAACACAAGAUUUUUUUUCUUCCAACUCUUAAAAUAUGAAUUUCCAUCCUCUGAAGUGGAAUAUUGACAAAGCAAGAGAGAUUUAUCCAUGGUUCAAGUGUAUCUGAACAAACUGUCCAUGCUAUCAGUUUUGAUAUGGCAGCCAUUAGACCCAUGUUUAAAAAGCUAAUGCUGCCAACUUAACACCCUUCCUGUUCUUGACCCCAGUCCUCAAGAGUUCAUGAGGGGGUAGCUGUUGCCGUGACUGUGUAAAGCAGAUAUAUACACAUUUACAACACUUUUAUUAGCAGCAAACAAUUUCUGUUUCUUUCUGACUGUUGCUCACAAAAAGGUUUUAAAGAAGAAUUAACUGAGGCUUCUGAGAAGCCUGAGUGAGUAGGAGUUCUGUGAUCUAUAACAACAGAAAAUGCAGGAUGGCCUCCAAUGAGAUGCUUAGAUAGUUGUAGUGCUGGCUUCAGUAUCCUGAAGUCAGUCUUCAAAGGUGUUAUAUUUAAUAAGCUACUACAUAAAGGUUACGUGUGAUUGCAUUUGAUUAUUUUGAGGAGGAAAGUCAAAUUUUCAAUUAUGAUUUUGAAGAAUGUGUCAUUUUUUAAAAAAAAUGAUCUAUCAUUCAGUUUACGUCUGCCUGGCUGUGAAGUCAUCAGGAAUUUUCUUUGUUAGAUCAGUCAUGUCACUACAGAAGGAAAACUGCUGAACUUGCAUGCUGCUUGUUUCUGCUGUGCAAGCAUUCAAUAUUUCAUAUGAUAGCUUUAAUAAAUUUCAUGCCUCUCUUUAGAGGGACA